AUUUCGUAGGUUUAACAACAACAUUUUCAUCAUUCACACAAUUCAAUCAAAUUUUAUAGGUUUCACAACAACAUUUUUAUCAUCCCCAUAAUUCAACCAAAUUUCAUGGGUUUAACAACAACAUUUUCAUCAUUCACACAAUUCAAUCAAAUUUUAUAGGUUUCACAACAACAUUUUUAUCAUCCCCAUAAUUCAACCAAAUUUCAUGGGUUUAACAACAACAUUUUCAUCAUUC
Molecule: long non-coding RNA, 235 nt
Filed under: Lathyrus oleraceus (garden pea)
Lineage: Eukaryota; Viridiplantae; Streptophyta; Magnoliopsida; Fabales; Fabaceae
Description: Pisum sativum (pea) long non-coding RNA (PSAT_LNC040028)
Source: RNAcentral